Molecule: ribosomal RNA, 468 nt
Filed under: uncultured bacterium
Lineage: Bacteria
Description: bacterial SSU rRNA
Rfam family: Bacterial small subunit ribosomal RNA
Source: RNAcentral
UCCAGACUCCUACGGGAGGCAGCAGUGAGGAAUAUUGGUCAAUGGCCGUAAGGCUGAACCAGCCAAGUAGCGUGAGGGAAGACUGCCCUAUGGGUUGUAAACCUCUUUUAUGCGGGGAUAAAGGUGUCCACGUGUGGAUGUUUGCAGGUACCGCAUGAAUAAGGACCGGCUAAUUCCGUGCCAGCAGCCGCGGUAAUACGGGGGAUGCGAGCGUUAUCCGGAUUUAUUGGGUUUAAAGGGUGCGUAGGCGGCGCUUCAGGUCAGCGGUGAAAUACCGGGGCUCAACCCCGGGGCUGCCGUUGAAACCGGAGCGCUAGAAUUCCGAUGCCGUCGGAGGAAUGUGUGGUGUAGCGGUGAAAUGCAUAGAUAUCACACAGAACACCGAUUGCGAAGGCAUCUGACGAAUCGGAGAUUGACGCUGAUGCACGAAAGCGUGGGUAUCGAACAGGAUUAGAUACCCGAGUAGAC